This 182-nucleotide unclassified non-coding RNA is filed under the name Dominikia disticha. RNAcentral's name for it is "partial internal transcribed spacer region". The stretch from base 1 to 46 matches the Rfam family "Eukaryotic small subunit ribosomal RNA", at positions 1786 to 1831 of the family's 1831-position model. Lineage: Eukaryota; Fungi; Glomeromycota; Glomeromycetes; Glomerales; Glomeraceae. RNAcentral also lists the same sequence under 1 other name. The record is from RNAcentral.
AAGUCGUAACAAGGUUUCCGUAGGUGAACCUGCGGAAGGAUCAUUAAUGAUUUGGCAAACCGAGCGUUAGCGAGGUUUUGCGAUCAACUUGUAUUUAAAACCCAACUCUUUAUAAUAAUUUAUACAUAAUUUUUAAUGAUAAAAUUAAAAGAUCACUUUCAACAACGGAUCUCUUGGCUCUC